Molecule: transfer-messenger RNA, 350 nt
Filed under: bacterium
Lineage: Bacteria
Also listed under: 2 other names
Description: UBA7702 sp902796855 Standard tmRNA
Rfam family: transfer-messenger RNA
About the family: Bacterial tmRNA, also known as 10Sa RNA or SsrA, is named for its dual tRNA and mRNA-like properties.
Source: RNAcentral
GGGGAUGUACUGGUUUUCGACGGAGGAAGGAUUGGUCGGGCAAGCGAGCCGGCGUUCCAUGAGGCCGCUAAACCGUGGAACCUAAAUUGAAAUGACAAAAACGAAUUAGCUUUAGCUGCUUAAUCGCAGUCUAACCUCCUCCGCUCUGUUCCCGCGAUGAGCGGCCGGGGGUCAUCAGGCCGGGAUACCGUGUCACUUUUUUCCGAGGGUGGCCCGGGAAAUUCUUCGGAAUGGUUUUGACGGACCUUGUUUGUGUGGUCCGCCAAGGCGAGAUCGAACACAAACUGCGCUCGGAGAAAACCCGGUGGGUUCUCUUUCGGACAGGGGUUCGACUCCCCUCAUCUCCACCA